CCAGGAACCUUAAAAUGCAUUAUUCUCAGAUUAUCUUACAUCAAAGCGACCCUUUCUCAGUUUUCACUAACACUUGUUCUAGGGUCUUCCUAAAACUCUUUCAUUUGGGAAGCUUGCAUUCAGCAACAAACAUCAUCUCUCACAAGGAUAACCCAUUGGUCUCAGAACCUUUCGUCCUUUUGUUCAAUUCACAGCAUAUGCUAAUUUCCCCUUGUCUCUGACGCUUACUGUCAAGAGGUUUUUCUCUUCUUUAUUCGGGAGAGAACAUGACGUCAAAAAGGGAAAGGGAAGUUGAUCGUAAAGUAGAGGAUGAAGGGCUUGAUAAUGAAUCGAAAAGGCAGAAGCUGGAUGAGAAUUCCUCUCCAUCUCCUCCUCCCGUCUCCAUUGCGAAUCCACUUUCUGGGUUAGCUAAUAAUUAUGCUGACAUUGAUGAGGAGGAAGAAUAUGUUCGAAGGGAAAGGGGUUCUGUUAAUGAGAGUAGGAAUGAUAGGUCGCAGCACAAUGGGCAUAGAUAUGGAGAGGCUGAUGGUAGUGAUGAAGAAGAUGAUUCACAAGAACAAUUAUUUAGUGGAAGAAACAGUCGCCAGGUUGAGGUUCGGAAGGACUGUCCUUAUCUCGAUACGGUUAAUAGACAGGUUUUGGAUUUUGACUUUGAAAAAUUCUGUUCUGUCUCCCUAUCGAAUUUAAAUGUGUAUGCAUGUUUGGUUUGCGGGAAGUAUUACCAAGGGAGAGGGAAGAAGUCUCAUGCAUAUACACAUAGUCUGGAAGCAGGACACCAUGUUUAUAUCAAUCUCCGUACUGAAAAAGUCUACUGUCUUCCUGAUGGUUAUGAAAUUAAUGAUCCUUCAUUAGAUGACAUUCGGCAUGUCUUAAAUCCAAGAUUCACUGGAAAAGAAGUUGAACAACUUGACAAAAAUAAGCAGUGGUCUAGGGCACUUGAUGGUUCUAGUUACCUUCCUGGAAUGGUGGGACUUAAUAAUAUCAAGGAGACUGAUUUUGUGAAUGUAACAAUUCAAUCCUUAAUGAGAGUUACCCCCUUGAGGAAUUUUUUCCUCAUCCCUGAAAAUUAUCAACACUGUAAAUCUCCACUUGUUCAUCGAUUUGGUGAACUCACUAGGAAAAUAUGGCAUGCACGGAACUUUAAAGGACAGGUCAGCCCACAUGAGUUUCUACAAGCAGUGAUGAAAGCCAGCAAGAAAAGGUUUCGGAUAGGUGCACAAUCUGACCCAGUUGAGUUCAUGUCAUGGUUGCUUAAUACUCUACAUGCAGAUCUUAAGACAUCAAAAAAGAAUACCAGCAUAAUCUAUGAGUGUUUUCAGGGUGAGCUUGAGGUUGUGAAAGAGAUUCCUAACAAAGGUACCAUUGAUAAGAAAGAAAACAAUGAAGACCAGAACAAUGCUGAGAAACUUUUGGAUGGGGUAAAUGAGCGAUAUGCAUUUGUCAAAGAAACUUCAAAAAUGCCAUUUCUAAUGUUGGGGUUGGACUUGCCACCACCUCCUCUUUUCAAGGAUGUGAUGGAAAAAAAUAUAAUACCACAGGUUCCACUCUUUAACAUUCUGAAGAAGUUUGAUGGUGAAACUAUCACAGAGGUGGUCCGUCCUCAUAUAGCAAGGAUGAAAUAUCGUGUUACCAGAUUGCCUAAGUAUAUGAUUCUUCACAUGCGGAGGUUUACUAAGAAUAAUUUUUUUGUGGAAAAGAAUCCCACAUUAGUAAACUUUCCUGUGAAGAACCUGGAGUUGAAGGAUUACAUUCCCUUGCCAACACCAAAAGAAAAUGAGAAAUUGCGAUCUAAAUAUGAUUUAAUUGCUAAUGUUGUUCAUGAUGGCAAACCUGGUGAGGGUUUGUAUAGGGUAUUUGUACAACGCAAAUCAGAAGAACUAUGGUAUGAGAUGCAGGAUUUGCAUGUCUCCGAAACACUUCCUCAUUUGGUUGCGCUGUCAGAAGCUUAUAUGCAAAUUUAUGAACAGCAAGGCUGAGUUCAAAUCAGUUUCUUUGUGCACCACAACCUGAUACACAUUGUGUGCUGAAUGGUUGACUAACACUUGUUUCAUCUGGGAAGCUCGCAAAAACUGUAGUGACGAGCUUCAGUAGCUACUUCUCUCACAAGGAGAACCAAUUGAUGCCAAACCCUAUCGUCUUCUAUUUCAAUUCACAGCAUAUGAUAAUUUUCCCUUGUUAGUGACGCAUGGCAAAACUCUAUUGACGAGAGGUUUUUUUCUUCUCUAUUCGGGUAUUGUAAGAAAGAUUCAUAUAGCCUGUGAGGAUGAUUUAUUUUGGAACACCAAACUUUUCUUCUUCUUGUGCCUAUCAAGUGUUCGAAGGAAAAGAUUUUGAACAUGGACAUGCGUCGUGUAUGCUUAUGUGCUGAAAAAAGUGAGAUAUUUUUUUAUCUUGAGCAUGAUAUGCAUAUGUUCUUGUUAUAGGUGUGAUUAGAUUUCAUACAGAGUUGAAUUUCUUUGCCAUUAGACAAUGGAUAUACGUUGGCUUAGUAUAUUUCAGUUUACUUCGGAUUCUGUUGUAAUAGACAGAUAUAAAAUACAAGCCACAAGGAAUGCGGUUGUUUCGUAACCCUAGAGGAUCUUG
This is an unclassified non-coding RNA of Vigna unguiculata (cowpea), 2583 nucleotides long. The record is from RefSeq and is a predicted model, not a curated record. Lineage: Eukaryota; Viridiplantae; Streptophyta; Magnoliopsida; Fabales; Fabaceae.